GCCUGGGUGGCUCAGUCGGUUAAGUGUCUGACUUCUGUUCAGGUCAUGAUCUCAUGGUGCGUGGGUUCGAGCCCCGCAUCGGGCU
Molecule: transfer RNA, 85 nt
Filed under: Felis catus (domestic cat)
Lineage: Eukaryota; Metazoa; Chordata; Mammalia; Carnivora; Felidae
Rfam family: tRNA
About the family: Transfer RNA (tRNA) molecules are approximately 80 nucleotides in length. Their secondary structure includes four short double-helical elements and three loops (D, anti-codon, and T loops).
Source: Rfam by way of RNAcentral